AGGUUGUUGCAGGAGAUUGGAAGGAGACUGCUGGUCAGCUGGUACCCUGAUCCUUCAAGGUCUUCCUUGUGAGGAACACAAAAACCUCUUCACCUUGCAAGUCCUGGCUCCAGGCUUGGGCAUCUGAUACAGAAGCAGCAACCUCACAUGGACUGCGUCCAGCCUAAUCCCUGGGAUAAAUGCCUAGGACAUAGGCCCAGUGGUUCUCUUUGUGGUGGGCCAUUGACUGGGGCUCACCCGCAUGCCACUCUACCUCUCUUUCAGGCUGGCUCAGGGAUCAGGUCCGAUUCUUCCUAGCAAGUUCAUGUACACAGGUACUCACAGAACACAGGCUGGUUUGGGGACUUCAUUAUCUUCAAGCUUAGAUUCCCUUGCAGGCCGAUAGUGGGGUGAGUCUGAGCACAGCAAGGCCUGGCUGUGUCCCACAACUAGGGACGCUUUGUUUUUGAGGGUUCCUCUCACCAUGUGACUACUUCUCAUGGCAGGUGCUCAAGGAUAGGAUUCACUCUGAUGGCAGUGACUUCUCAGAUGCCUUCCUCUGACCAGAUGGCCAGGAGAUAGAGUGUGCCCCCAGGGACAGAGUGGGUGCUGCCAGCACGGCUGUGGCUCUGCAGACUUGCUGUGCUGCUUCCUCGUUAGGAAGCCCAGGAAGGGACAUGGCCUCUUUGCCCCCUUUCGGCACAGAUGUGUUUGCCUCUCCAGUAUUUCUAAUCUGGCCCCAGGUUCUUCCACAGGAGGACAGGCUAUGGCUGCUGCCUGGUUUGUGCGACCUAAUAAUUAGGUCCCUAUGAUGCCCUGGGCUUCAGUCACUUAUGUCCUAUCACCUAACUCUGGCUCAGUGUGGCGACUGUGCCUUCCCCUGUGAAUGUCUCCCCACUCCUGUGAGUUUCUCUGUCUAGGAGUAGAAUGACUUGUGAGGUGCCCAAUGAAUGGGGGCCAAAUCAUCCUUUCUAUUGGUCCUCUUUGAAUUGGAAAUUCUCAGCACAAGUCACUACGUUGAAUUUAAGAGUGACUUUCAAAUGCCGACAAGAGCAAGCCAUCUGCAUCUGUUGCUGGGUUCCAUUCUCAGGACGUGAGGACAAAGCAGGGCCCUCUGAGGUAGCAGACACAAGGCCCAACUCACAGUCUUGCCCCUUGGCCAGUUGGUUGAAUGGCAGCUCCAUCUCAUACUUCCCACCCAAGAGCCUCAUUUGAGAGGAGUGACCAGGCCAGUGGAGUGUCACGCUGGGUGUUUUAACAAACUGACCUCCAGGGUUUCUUCCCUUUUAUUGUUCCCUAAAGUUCUCUGAAGCACAUGUUACCAUGGUUACAAUGAUAGACCCUUGGAGCAUCAGCUCUCCAAGUGAGAGGAGACAUUCCACUGCCCAGUAGGUUCCUGUCACUUUUGGAAGGGCACUGGAUGUCAGCAGAGAAGGAGUGUGGGCAUCUGUGGGGUGAUGCACUGACCGGUGCUGCACUCUUAGGCUGGGGAGGACUUAGGGGCUGAAUGGUGCACCCCCCCAAAUUCAUAUGUUGUAGUUCUAACGCUUAGCACCUCAGAAUGUGACUGUAUUGGAGGUGGGGCUUUUAAAGAGGUAGUUUAGGUAAAAUGAGGUCAUUAGGGUGGGCCUUAACCCGAUAUGCCUGGUGUCCUCAUGAGAAGAGGAGAUUAGCACACAGACUCACACAGAGGGAGGACCACGUGAGGACGCAGGGAGAAGACAGCCAUCUACAAUCCAAGGAGAGUGAGCCUCAGAAGACACCAAAUCGGCCAACAUCUUGAUCUCAGACUUCUAGCCUCUAAAAUUGCCGGUGGAUUCCGCUCCUGUUGCUUAUCCUUCAUGGCCUCCUCCCUCCUGGCCUCUGCUUCGGCUGAGGAAUUCCAAGGACACAGGCAUGGAGAGGAGACACACAGAGGACCAGGUCACAGAGCUGAGGGCAACUGUGCCUUGAACAUGGAUUUCAUUGACUUGGGAUCUCCCUUUGUCUUACUCGUCUUAAAUCUUAGAGACGGCAAAUUGUACUUGCCAGUCUUAUAUAUUUCGGCAUGGGGAUGUGAAAGAAAACCAUAUGUCAGUCUGCUUUCAGUUUAGUCACGUAUAUGGUCAAUGAGACAGCAGGGCAAUUUGUCUGCAUGUAAAGCAAAACUAUCUCUAUUCACUAAAGCUGCCCAUUUGUUAAAAUGUUAUAGUAACAGUCAGACCUUCACUGGGUGAUGGUUUACAGUUUCCUGACUGCUUUUACAAGCAUUUUUGUUUUAAUACAUGCGUUAUUGUCUCUGUUUUAUAAAUAUAAAAUUAAGAUCUGCAUGCUGUUCUGAGAAUCAUGGUGAAGUCUCCCUCUAUCCUGCUCAGGUCUUGAAUCAUCCCUUUGUCCAGCGGAGCCAUACUGUUUACGCUAGCCGCCUGUUAGUCACUUAGGAGCUGUCUUGGUUAUCAAAUGGACUGUUGGCGGCAUUGCAGUGAUUGUGUUCCCUCCUUUUACUUAAUAAUGGCCCC
Molecule: long non-coding RNA, 2477 nt
Organism: Equus caballus (horse)
Lineage: Eukaryota; Metazoa; Chordata; Mammalia; Perissodactyla; Equidae
Source: Ensembl